Long non-coding RNA from Solanum lycopersicum (tomato), 597 nucleotides. RefSeq lists it as uncharacterized. The record is from RefSeq and is a predicted model, not a curated record. Lineage: Eukaryota; Viridiplantae; Streptophyta; Magnoliopsida; Solanales; Solanaceae.
GUUGUAUAAUUUUUAGUUGGAUUUUUACCUAGCAAGAAAAUAUGAAGAAAACUUGAGCAAAAAUACUCUAAAUACACACUAAAUACAUUUCGAAAAGCAAAGGAUACCAUAUUUUUAGUGUGUGGGUUGCAUUUUUUGCUUCAAUCUUUGAUUGUCGCUCAUGGUCGAGUUCUCGUGGGGGAUCGGAUUAUCACGUUUCGGCAAGCUAACUUGGAUCAAUUGCAUCUUCAGCAUAAAUAUUGGAUCGGGUUACUACGUUGUGGCACAACUAUGGGAUCGAAUUUUCAUGUUCUAGUAAGCUAACUGGGAUCGUGUACCACGCUGGUGCACUAACAGUUUGAGUUUAAAUUCUAUGAGAGGACCAUUACAUUGGGUACCGUGAGAGGACAAACUACUUGUGAUAAUUGUAUUUAUUGUUUAUGAACUAUGAUAAUUGUGAGAGGACAAACUACUUGUGAUAAUUGUAUUUAUUGUUUAUGAACUAUGACUUAUGAAUUCUCAAAGAGUUGUACUUAGUGUGAGUAGGGGAUUGGGACUCCAUUUAUGCAUUGCACAAGCGAAUUUUAAGAGCGGUUGCCGUUUGGUUCUCUUAUGCUA